CGCUUGCGGCAUGGCUAAAACAUGCAAGUCGAACGCGAAAGUACUUCGGGUGCGAGUAGAGUGGCGAAAGGGCGAGGAAUACGUUUCUAACGUGCCCCUGGGUGAGGGAUAGCAUCGGGAAACCGGUGGUAAUACCUCAUGAUCCCCGGUUGUCGCAUGGCAGCCGGGGCAAAGGUUUACCGCCCGGGGAUCGGGAAACGUCCUAUCAGGUAGUUGGUGAGGUAACGGCUCACCAAGCCUUAGACGGGUAGCGGGCGUGAGAGCGUGACCCGCCGCAUCGGGACUGAGACACUGCCCGGACUCCUACGGGAGGCUGCAGUAACGAAUAUUCCGCAAUGCGCGAAAGCGUGACGGAGCAAUGCCGCGUGAAGGAUGAAGCCCCUCGGGGUGUAAACUUCUGUCAGGGAAUAGGAACAAAAUGACCGUUCCCAAAGGAAGGGCCGGCUAACUUCGUGCCAGCAGCCGCGGUAAUACGAAGGGCCCGAGCGUUGCGCGGAAUCACUGGGCUUAAAGGGUGCGUAGGCGGAACUGUAAGUACUUUGUGAAAUCCCUCGGCUCAACCGGGGAAUUGCUUGGUAUACUGCGGUUCUUGAGGCCAGUAGGGGCAGCCGGAACUCUAGGUGGAGCGGUGAAAUGCAUAGAUAUCUAGAGGAACGCCAAAGGUGAAGACAGGCUGCUGGGCUGGACCUGACGCUGAGGCACGAAAGCGUGGGGAGCAAACAGGAUUAGAUACCCUGGUAGUCCACGCCGUAAACGUUGUGCACUAGGUCCCGGAGGUUUUGACGCCAUCGGGGCUGGAGCAAAAGUAUUAAGUGCACCGCCUGGGGAGUACGGUCGCAAGGCUAAAACUCAAAGGAAUUGACGGGGGCUCACACAAGCGGUGGAGCAUGUGGCUUAA
This 898-nucleotide ribosomal RNA is filed under the name uncultured organism. Its description in RNAcentral is "bacterial SSU rRNA". It matches the Rfam family "Bacterial small subunit ribosomal RNA", at positions 34 to 949 of the family's 1533-position model. The record is from RNAcentral.